This is a long non-coding RNA of Lolium perenne, 293 nucleotides long. RefSeq lists it as uncharacterized. The record is from RefSeq and is a predicted model, not a curated record. NCBI's taxonomy places the organism in Eukaryota, Viridiplantae, Streptophyta, Magnoliopsida, Poales, Poaceae.
UGGUGGUGACAACACUUAGGUUGCAUGUAGUGAGUAAGCUGCCUGCGUAGUCUCUUUGAAGUGCAAGUGGUCAAACUGGUUUGCUUUGCUUCCAAGUGCAAGCAUACGGCUGGGAAAACAAAGAUCAAUGGAGGAUUGAGAAGAUUUAGAUUUAGGAAUUCUUUUAUUUCCUAGUAAUCUUCUAUUACUUUUGUAAAGAGAAUAUACAAUUGUGUAAAGGUUGUACAAUUUCAAUGGAUGUAUGAUGAUUUGUAAUAUUUAGUUCUUGACCAAAUAAUCUUAUUUUACUUACA